RNAcentral lists this long non-coding RNA (420 nucleotides) under Gallus gallus (chicken). Lineage: Eukaryota; Metazoa; Chordata; Aves; Galliformes; Phasianidae. The record is from RNAcentral.
CUUCCCUGGGCCGCGAGGGCGGCCGCGCGCCGCGGCUCUGCCGGCGUCGCUGUGGGAGUUCGGGUUUGGCGCCCGCGAAGCGCCGCCCGUGGGACCCCGGAGCGCUCGUGGCCCCCAGCCCGCGGGGAUUCCAGCAUCUCCCAUCACGUCCCGUCACGGCGUGCGUCAGGAGAUCCAACACCAGCCCCAGUGCAAUCUUGGAAGGAGAACUGAAUUAUUUAUGGCAGAGUGGUCAAACGACAGAGAGUGAAGCACCAGGCCUGGUGUAAUUUCGUGUCUCCUGCAGCCAGUUAUGUAAAAAUGUAAAUAUUACAAGUUUUCUGUGUCGCUGCUCCUGCCAAAUGUUUAAUAUUUUAGUAAAGUUGCUCUGAGUGCUCCUGCCACUUCGCAGAAGGAACUCGGUGUGCUCUUGAAUAAGUG